UACGGAGGGUGCAAGCGUUAUCCGGAUUCACUGGGUUUAAAGGGUGCGUAGGAGGGCAGGUAAGUCAGUGGUGAAAUCUCCGAGCUUAACUUGGAAACUGCCGUUGGUACUAUCUGUCUUGAAUACCGUGGAGAUGAGCGGAAUAUGUCAUGUAGCGGUGAAAUGCUUAGAUAUGACAUAGAACACCAAUUGCGAAGGCAGCUCGUUACACGAAUAUUGACUCUGAGGCACGAAAGCGUGGGGAUCAAACAGG
RNAcentral lists this ribosomal RNA (253 nucleotides) under uncultured bacterium. RNAcentral describes it as "partial 16S ribosomal RNA". It matches the Rfam family "Bacterial small subunit ribosomal RNA", at positions 524 to 776 of the family's 1533-position model. The record is from RNAcentral.